Molecule: long non-coding RNA, 407 nt
Filed under: Ananas comosus (pineapple)
Lineage: Eukaryota; Viridiplantae; Streptophyta; Magnoliopsida; Poales; Bromeliaceae
Description: long non-coding RNA (ACOM_LNC012527)
Source: RNAcentral
UUUUUGAAAAAACUUCAAAUAUUACCCUUAUAGUUUUACACUUUCUCACUUUAUACAUUAUGGUUUAAAGUGUAUCAAUUUAGUGCCAUAUGAUUUUAUUUUUAUUUUUUUAUUAUCAAUUUCACUAUUUUUUUUGUUAAAUCAGUGAGAAAGUUAAAACUUAAGGAUGCUAAAGUAAAUAUUUAAUAAACUUAAGUAGGUAUCUGAAGUUUUUUAUAUAUAACUUAAUGAAAUAUUAACGAAAUUACUNCUAACGAAAAUAUAAAAAGAAAACCACAGAACACUAACUUGAUAUACUUUAAACCACAUGGUACUAAAAUGAAAAAGUGUGAAACUAUAUGAAUGGUAUUUAAAGUUUAUCUUUUUUUUUAUUUUUUUUUUUUUUUGACGAAUUAGAACGGAAUAUU